RNAcentral lists this ribosomal RNA (234 nucleotides) under Ochromonas sp. CCMP1393. RNAcentral describes it as "partial Bacterial large subunit ribosomal RNA". It matches the Rfam family "Bacterial large subunit ribosomal RNA", at positions 1584 to 1819 of the family's 2925-position model. Lineage: Eukaryota; Chrysophyceae; Chromulinales; Chromulinaceae. The record is from RNAcentral.
GGUGAAGUGGGUGAUCCUAUGCUGUCGAGAAAAACCUCUAGCGAGCAACGAGCCGCCCGUACCCCAAACCGACUCAGGUGGUCAGGUAGAGAAUACCAAGGCGAUCGAGCGAACUAUGGUUAAGGAACUCGGCAAAAUACCUCCGUAAGUUCGCGAGAAGGAGGCCCGGCGUUUACGCAAGUAGAUUCCGGGGGCACAAACCAGGGGGUGGCGACUGUUUACUAAAAACACAGG